This 562-nucleotide long non-coding RNA is filed under the name Bos taurus (domestic cattle). Its description in RNAcentral is "long non-coding RNA NONBTAT024936". Lineage: Eukaryota; Metazoa; Chordata; Mammalia; Artiodactyla; Bovidae. The record is from RNAcentral.
GGGGGGAGGGAGAAGAAAAAACAAGUAGAUGAGAGAGAAAGACAAUUCGCUUGUUAGUUAGAACAAAAUUAGUGAACUAGUAGGUUCACUCCGUUAGAAGAAAGCAUUAGGGACACCGGCACAGUGGUGUCUGUUGUCAGCUGUGAUCAUAUUUGAUUUCACCAACAGAGACAAAGAGGCUACACACUGGGAACUCUAAAAGCAUCCUGCUCUUCCCAGAUCCCUGGAAAGAGCCCAGCCCAGCACUCCAAGAGUGUUAGACUGGGAGAGAUGCCAAACUCCAGGGGCUGCCAGACGAGCAGUCUAUUUCUUUAAUUUGGAGACAAUCAUAAGCCAGAAGUUAGAAAGUGUGGGACCACUUUUCUCCUUGGAAAUGAAAAUAAUGCACCUUGGGAUUCAGAUUUCUGUUGACUAAAGCUCCACGUGGUGUUAGGUGGGUAAAUGAUCACAGCAUAGGACAACGGGGCUGGCCUCCUCCUCAGGACCUAUGAGGUGUGCCUAUGAGAAGACUGCAUUCUCGGACCUGGAAGAGCUGUGGCCCAAACACAUGCCCCUGUAAUGC